RNAcentral lists this ribosomal RNA (462 nucleotides) under uncultured bacterium. RNAcentral describes it as "partial 16S ribosomal RNA". It matches the Rfam family "Bacterial small subunit ribosomal RNA", at positions 29 to 507 of the family's 1533-position model. The record is from RNAcentral.
AACAAACGCUGGCGGCGUGCCUAAUACAUGCAAGUCGAACGGGGAAAGCUUUCGGGUGAGUACUAGUGGCGCACGGGUGAGGAACGCGUGGAUAAUCUGCCUUAGAGUGGGGGAUAACUAGUCGAAAGAUUAGCUAAUACCGCAUAAGACCACGAGAGCUGCGGCUUUUGAGGUCAAAGGUUUUUCGCUCUAAGAUGAGUCCGCGUAAGAUUAGCUAGUUGGUGAGGUAACGGCUCACCAAGGCGACGAUCUUUAACUGGUCUGAGAGGAUGAUCAGUCACACUGGAACUGAGACACGGUCCAGACUCCUACGGGAGGCAGCAGUAGGGAAUAUUGCACAAUGGAGGAAACUCUGAUGAAGCGACGCCGCGUGAGUGAUGAAGGCCUUCGGGUCGUAAAGCUCUGUCGCAGGGGAAUAACACAAUGAAGGUACCCUGUAAGAAAGGAUCGGCUAACUUCGUG